RNAcentral lists this ribosomal RNA (253 nucleotides) under uncultured bacterium. RNAcentral describes it as "partial 16S ribosomal RNA". It matches the Rfam family "Bacterial small subunit ribosomal RNA", at positions 524 to 776 of the family's 1533-position model. The record is from RNAcentral.
UACGUAGGCAGCAAGCGUUGUUCGGAAUCACUGGGCGUAAAGGGUGCGUAGGCGGGUCUUUAGGUCAGGGGUGAAAUCCUGGAGCUCAACUCCAGAACUGCCUUUGAUACUGAGGAUCUUGAGUUCGGGAGAGGUGAGUGGAACUGCGAGUGUAGAGGUGAAAUUCGUAGAUAUUCGCAAGAACACCAGUGGCGAAGGCGGCUCACUGGCCCGAUACUGACGCUGAGGCACGAAAGCGUGGGGAGCAAACAGG